This 474-nucleotide ribosomal RNA is filed under the name Odontotermes montanus. RNAcentral's name for it is "partial 16S ribosomal RNA". It matches the Rfam family "Bacterial large subunit ribosomal RNA", at positions 1832 to 2597 of the family's 2925-position model. The record is from RNAcentral. Lineage: Eukaryota; Metazoa; Arthropoda; Insecta; Blattodea; Termitidae.
UCUUCUUGGUAGUUUUUGAAGUAUAGCCUGCCCGCUGAUUGAAGGGCCGCGGUAUUUUGACCGUGCAAAGGUAGCAUAGUCAUUAGUUCUUUAAUUGUGAACUGGUAUGAAUGGCUUGACGAGAUAUGAGCUGUCUUUUUGAAUUUGUAUUUUGAGUUAAAAUUCUUAGAUGUUUUUAUGGGACGAGAAGACCCUAUAGAGUUUUACGUUAGGUUCUUUUGUUUGUUUUCCAUUUUAUGUUUGUUUUGUUGGGGUGAUGGGAGGAUUUUCUUUAACUCCUCUUUUUGUUAUAUUGAUUUGUAUUUGUUUUGAUCCAUUUAUUUUGAUUAUAAGAUUAAAUUACCUUAGGGAUAACAGCGUUAUCUCCCCUGAGAGUUCUUAUUGGCGGGGGGGUUUGCGACCUCGAUGUUGGAUUAAGGUUUAUUUUUGGUGUAGGAGCUGAAUGGAUUAGGUCUGUUCGACCUUUAAAAUCUU